GAUGAAGAACGUAGCGAAAUGCGAUAAGUAAUGUGAAUUGCAGAAUUCAGUGAAUCAUCGAAUCUUUGAACGCACAUUGCGCCCGCCAGUAUUCUGGCGGGCAUGCCUGUCCGAGCGUCAUUUCAACCAUCAAGCCCCCGGGCUUGUGUUGGGGACCUGCGGCUGCCCGCAGGCCCUGAAAACCAGUGGCGGGCUCGCUGUCACACCGAGCGUAGUAGCAAUCACCUCGCUCAGGGCGUGCUGCGGGUUCCGGCCGUUAAACAGCCUUACAAAACCCAAGGUUGACCUCGGAUCAGGUAGGAAGACCCGCUGAACUUAAGCAUAUAAUAAGCGGAGGA
This 338-nucleotide unclassified non-coding RNA is filed under the name soil metagenome. RNAcentral describes it as "partial contains 5.8S ribosomal RNA, internal transcribed spacer 2, and large subunit ribosomal RNA". The stretch from base 1 to 120 matches the Rfam family "5.8S ribosomal RNA", at positions 35 to 154 of the family's 154-position model. The record is from RNAcentral.